RNAcentral lists this ribosomal RNA (253 nucleotides) under uncultured bacterium. Its description in RNAcentral is "partial 16S ribosomal RNA". It matches the Rfam family "Bacterial small subunit ribosomal RNA", at positions 524 to 776 of the family's 1533-position model. The record is from RNAcentral.
UACAGAGGUCUCAAGCGUUGUUCGGAUUCAUUGGGCGUAAAGGGUGCGUAGGCGGCGCGGUAAGUCGGAUGUGAAAUCUCGGAGCUUAACUCCGAAACUGCAUUCGAUACUGCCGUGCUUGAGGACUGGAGAGGAGACUGGAAUUUACGGUGUAGCGGUGAAAUGCGUAGAUAUCUGGAGGAACACCGGUGGCGAAGGCGGCAUCCUGGACCAACACUGACGCUGAGGAGCGAAAGCCAGGGGAGCAAACGGG